RNAcentral lists this ribosomal RNA (253 nucleotides) under uncultured bacterium. RNAcentral describes it as "partial 16S ribosomal RNA". It matches the Rfam family "Archaeal small subunit ribosomal RNA", at positions 474 to 727 of the family's 1478-position model. The record is from RNAcentral.
UACCAGCACCCCGAGUGGUCGGGACGUUUAUUGGGCCUAAAGCAUCCGUAGCCGGUUCUACAAGUCUUCCGUUAAAUCCAACUGCUUAACAGGUGGGCUGCGGAAGAUACGAUAGAGCUAGGAGGCGGGAGAGGCAAGCGGUACUCGAUGGGUAGGGGUAAAAUCCGUUGAUCCAUUGAAGACCACCAGUGGCGAAGGCGGCUUGCCAGAACGCGCUCGACGGUGAGGGAUGAAAGCUGGGGGAGCAAACCGG